Molecule: non-coding RNA, 226 nt
Organism: Pelobates cultripes (western spadefoot toad)
Lineage: Eukaryota; Metazoa; Chordata; Amphibia; Anura; Pelobatidae
Source: the annotation of a GenBank genome assembly
AGGAGUUAGACCAGAGAGUCCACCUGAGCCACCACUGGACCCCAGUCACCCUCCUGCACCUAAAAGGUAAGAAACAGGAGGGUGACUUAAAUAUUGUGUGUGUGUGUUUGCCUGUAUAUAUGUGUGCCUGUUUGUAUGUAUGUCUUUGUAUGUAUGUGUGUUUGUAUGUAUGUAUGCCUGACUGCAUGUGUGUGUGUGUGUCUGUCUGUCUGUGUCUGCCUGUGCG